This 344-nucleotide ribosomal RNA is filed under the name Klebsiella pneumoniae. RNAcentral's name for it is "bacterial SSU rRNA". It matches the Rfam family "Bacterial small subunit ribosomal RNA", at positions 1 to 339 of the family's 1533-position model. The record is from RNAcentral. Lineage: Bacteria; Pseudomonadati; Pseudomonadota; Gammaproteobacteria; Enterobacterales; Enterobacteriaceae.
ACUUAAAUUGAAGAGUUUGAUCAUGGCUCAGAUUGAACGCUGGCGGCAGGCCUAACACAUGCAAGUCGAGCGGUAGCACAGAGAGCUUGCUCUCGGGUGACGAGCGGCGGACGGGUGAGUAAUGUCUGGGAAACUGCCUGAUGGAGGGGGAUAACUACUGGAAACGGUAGCUAAUACCGCAUAACGUCGCAAGACCAAAGUGGGGGACCUUCGGGCCUCAUGCCAUCAGAUGUGCCCAGAUGGGAUUAGCUAGUAGGUGGGGUAACGGCUCACCUAGGCGACGAUCCCUAGCUGGUCUGAGAGGAUGACCAGCCACACUGGAACUGAGACACGGUCCAGACUCC